UAGGGAAUCUUCCGCAAUGGGCGAAAGCUUGACGGAGCAACGCCGCGUGAGUGAUGAAGGUCUUCGGAUCGUAAAACUCUGUUAUUAGGGAAGAACAAAUGUGUAAGUAACUAUGCACGUCUUGACGGUACCUAAUCAGAAAGCCACGGCUAACUACGUGCCAGCAGCCGCGGUAAUACGUAGGUGGCAAGCGUUAUCCGGAAUUAUUGGGCGUAAAGCGCGCGUAGGCGGUUUUUUAAGUCUGAUGUGAAAGCCCACGGCUCAACCGUGGAGGGUCAUUGGAAACUGGAAAACUUGGGUGCAGAAGAGGAAAGUGGAAUUCCAUGUGUAGCGGUGAAAUGCGCAGAGAUAUGGAGGAACACCAGUGGCGAAGGCGACUUUCUGGUCUGUAACUGACGCUGAUGUGCGAAAGCGUGGGGAUCAAACAGG
This 429-nucleotide ribosomal RNA is filed under the name Actinomycetes bacterium. Its description in RNAcentral is "Actinobacteria bacterium partial 16S ribosomal RNA". It matches the Rfam family "Bacterial small subunit ribosomal RNA", at positions 355 to 776 of the family's 1533-position model. The record is from RNAcentral. Lineage: Bacteria; Bacillati; Actinomycetota; Actinomycetes.